This 253-nucleotide ribosomal RNA is filed under the name uncultured bacterium. Its description in RNAcentral is "partial 16S ribosomal RNA". It matches the Rfam family "Bacterial small subunit ribosomal RNA", at positions 524 to 776 of the family's 1533-position model. The record is from RNAcentral.
UACGUAGGGGGCAAGCGUUGUCCGGAUUUACUGGGCGUAAAGAGCGUGUAGGCGGCCACGCAGGUCCGUUGUGAAAACUGGAGGCUCAACUUCCAGCCGUCGACGGAAACCGUGUGGCUAGAGUCCGGAAGAGGAGAGUGGAAUUCCUGGUGUAGCGGUGAAAUGCGCAGAUAUCAGGAAGAACACCAAUGGCGAAGGCAGCUCGCUGGGACGGUACUGACGCUGAGACGCGAAAGCGUGGGGAGCGAACAGG